GUAAGAAAACUUCAUUAGAAUAGUAAAUAGAUAUUAAUGGAGUUUCAAUCACAAAUUAUAACUUUUGAUCUUCUCUCCAAUCUAUCAAAAUCCUAGAAAACCUUGCUGUGAAAAUAAUAAAACUAGAAAAGCACACUUUGCCACUAACAUGGUGGCAAAGCUAAUAUAAUUAGGUUAAAACUCGUCAGGGGAAAUCUUGUCAAUUGGUGAAGACUUGGGCUUCAAGUUGGCUGUGACCAAACGGGAUUUCUGCGCGCUUCGCUGUCGAUCGAUGUCAAGAUAUGAUCAUCGAUCGAUUAUUCCUCUCCAAUAUCGACCGAUGGUCGAGCUCGAUGGUCAUCUCGGGUGCUUGCUCCAAAUAUCUCCAAAAUGUUCCAAAAUCAUCCUUAUCUCCAAAUCACUCCU
Molecule: long non-coding RNA, 405 nt
Filed under: Brassica napus (rape)
Lineage: Eukaryota; Viridiplantae; Streptophyta; Magnoliopsida; Brassicales; Brassicaceae
Description: long non-coding RNA (BNAP_LNC026387)
Source: RNAcentral